AUUGAACGCUGGCGGCAUGCCUUACACAUGCAAGUCGAACGGUAACAGGUCUUCGGAUGCUGACGAGUGGCGAACGGGUGUGUAAUACAUCGGAACGUGCCCGAUCGUGGGGGAUAACGGAGCGAAAGCUUUGCUAAUACCGCAUACGAUCUACGGAUGAAAGCAGGGGACCGCAAGGCCUUGCGCGGACGGAGCGGCCGAUGGCAGAUUAGGUAGUUGGUGGGAUAAAAGCUUACCAAGCCGACGAUCUGUAGCUGGUCUGAGAGGACGACCAGCCACACUGGGACUGAGACACGGCCCAGACUCCUACGGGAGGCAGCAGUGGGGAAUUUUGGACAAUGGGCGAAAGCCUGAUCCAGCCAUGCCGCGUGCAGGAUGAAGGCCUUCGGGUUGUAAACUGCUUUUGUACGGAACGAAAAGACUCUUUCUAAUAAAGAGGGUCCAUGACGGUACCGUAAGAAUAAGCACCGGCUAACUACGUG
This 482-nucleotide ribosomal RNA is filed under the name uncultured bacterium. RNAcentral describes it as "partial 16S ribosomal RNA". It matches the Rfam family "Bacterial small subunit ribosomal RNA", at positions 30 to 507 of the family's 1533-position model. The record is from RNAcentral.